This 497-nucleotide ribosomal RNA is filed under the name uncultured bacterium. RNAcentral describes it as "partial 16S ribosomal RNA". It matches the Rfam family "Bacterial small subunit ribosomal RNA", at positions 28 to 507 of the family's 1533-position model. The record is from RNAcentral.
GAUGAACGCUGGCGGCGUGCCUAAUACAUGCAAGUCGAGCGAACAGACGAGGAGCUUGCUCCUCUGACGUUAGCGGCGGACGGGUGAGUAACACGUGGAUAACCUACCUAUAAGACUGGGAUAACUUCGGGAAACCGGAGCUAAUACCGGAUAAUAUAUUGAACCGCAUGGUUCAAUAGUGAAAGACGGUUUUGCUGUCACUUAUAGAUGGAUCCGCGCCGCAUUAGCUAGUUGGUAAGGUAACGGCUUACCAAGGCAACGAUGCGUAGCCGACCUGAGAGGGUGAUCGGCCACACCGGAACUGAGACACGGUCCAGACUCCUACGGGAGGCAGCAGUAGGGAAUCUUCCGCAAUGGGCGAAAGCCUGACGGAGCAACGCCGCGUGAGUGAUGAAGGUCUUCGGAUCGUAAAACUCUGUUAUUAGGGAAGAACAAAUGUGUAAGUAACUAUGCACGUCUUGACGGUACCUAAUCAGAAAGCCACGGCUAACUACGUG